RNAcentral lists this ribosomal RNA (578 nucleotides) under Stenotrophomonas sp. StRD625. Its description in RNAcentral is "bacterial SSU rRNA". It matches the Rfam family "Bacterial small subunit ribosomal RNA", at positions 102 to 676 of the family's 1533-position model. The record is from RNAcentral. Lineage: Bacteria; Pseudomonadati; Pseudomonadota; Gammaproteobacteria; Lysobacterales; Lysobacteraceae.
ACGGGUGAGGAAUACAUCGGAAUCUACUUUUUCGUGGGGGAUAACGUAGGGAAACUUACGCUAAUACCGCAUACGACCUACGGGUGAAAGCAGGGGAUCUUCGGGCCUUGCGCGAUUGAAUGAGCCGAUGUCGGAUUAGCUAGUUGGCGGGGUAAAGGCCCACCAAGGCGACGAUCCGUAGCUGGUCUGAAAGGAUGAUCAGCCACACUGGAACUGAGACACGGUCCAGACUCCUACGGGAGGCAGCAGUGGGGAAUAUUGGACAAUGGGCGCAAGCCUGAUCCAGCCAUACCGCGUGGGUGAAGAAGGCCUUCGGGUUGUAAAGCCCUUUUGUUGGGAAAGAAAUCCAGCCGGCUAAUACCUGGUUGGGAUGACGGUACCCAAAGAAUAAGCACCGGCUAACUUCGUGCCAGCAGCCGCGGUAAUACGAAGGGUGCAAGCGUUACUCGGAAUUACUGGGCGUAAAGCGUGCGUAGGUGGUUGUUUAAGUCUGUUGUGAAAGCCCUGGGCUCAACCUGGGAACUGCAGUGGAAACUGGACAACUAGAGUGUGGUAGAGGGUAGCGGAAUUCCCGGUGU